Molecule: long non-coding RNA, 731 nt
Filed under: Ailuropoda melanoleuca (giant panda)
Lineage: Eukaryota; Metazoa; Chordata; Mammalia; Carnivora; Ursidae
Description: lncRNA (ENSAMEG00000026156.1)
Source: RNAcentral
AUUUUUUAGGAACCUCCAUACUGUUUUCCAGAGUGGCUGCACCAGUUUACAUUCCCACCAACAGUGCGUGAGUGUUGUGUUUUUUCUCUGCAUCCUCCCCAGCACUUGUUAUUUCUUGUCUUUGAUAGGGUUCUGACAGGUAUGAGGUGAUAUCUGAUUGUCAUUUUGAUUCAGAUUUCUCUGAUGAGUAUUGAUACUGAGCAUCUUCCGUGUAUCUGUUGAUGUAAUAGACACUCCUACCUCAUUCCUUCGCCUUUCCCUUUUAGUCUUUCCAGGGUGAUGACGACACCAAGGCCUCUGAAAGAUUAACUCCCCAUUUGAAUCUUCCAUCAACAGUUCUCUGCGUGUGUGGAGUGGGCCAGGCUGGAGGCCUGCAUGUUUCCAGAUUCUUGACCCAGCUGUAUAUGGAAGCCUGAGAUCUUCCAAACAUGAAGCAGAAGGUCAAAGGAGCUCUCGCCCUACCAGACCUGCUUACAUUUCCCUGAAAACAUUGCUGUAGCAAUCCAAGGCCAACCGAUCCAUCAAGAGCAGCAGUUUUCUUGAGAACAGAAGUGUGAAUUAUUUGUAGCAUGUAACGUCUUGCUUCAUAUCCACCUGUUGGGUCCGCAGACAUCUGUGGACCCUCCGUUACCAGCAGGCCUGUGAUAAGUGUUGUAUGAGAGAUACAAAGAUGAAUCAGGUACGGGCAUAUCUUGUUUUAUUGCUGUGCUUUAUUGUGCUUCACAGAUUUU